UACGUAGGGUGCAAGCGUUAAUCGGAAUUACUGGGCGUAAAGCGUGCGCAGGCGGUUAUUUAAGACAGGCGUGAAAGCCCCGGGCUCAACCUGGGAGGUGCGCUUGUGACUGGAUAGCUAGAGUACGGCAGAGGGGGGUGGAAUUCCACGUGUAGCAGUGAAAUGCGUAGAGAUGUGGAGGAACACCGAUGGCGAAGGCAGCCCCCUGGGCUAGUACUGACGCUCAGGCACGAAAGCGUGGGGAGCAAACAGG
Molecule: ribosomal RNA, 253 nt
Filed under: uncultured bacterium
Lineage: Bacteria
Description: partial 16S ribosomal RNA
Rfam family: Bacterial small subunit ribosomal RNA
Source: RNAcentral